GCGGAUGCCUUGGCUCUCGGAGGCGAUGAAGGACGUGAUAAGCUGCGAUAAGCUUUGGGGAGGUGCAAAUGACCUUUGAUCCAGAGAUUUCCGAAUGGGACAACCCAAUAUCUUGAAGAGGUAUUAUCCAACGUUGUUGGAGGCUAACGCAGGGAACUGAAACAUCUUAGUACCUGCAGGAAAAGAAAAUAAACAAUGAUUCCCCCAGUAGUGGCGAGCGAACGGGGAACAGCCCAAACCAUCCAUGUUACGGCAUGGGUGGGGUUGUAGGACUACGCCGUUGCAUGAAGACAUCAGAGAAGAACUUUCUGGAAAGAAAGACCAUAGAGCAUGACAGUUGCGUAUUCGAAUGUUGUCGAAGCAUAGUAGUAUCCUGAGUAGCGCGGAGCACGAGGAAUUCUGCGUGAAUCUGCCGGGACCAUCCGGUAAGGCUAAAUACUCCCGAGAGACCGAUAGCGAACCAGUACCGUGAGGGAAAGGUGAAAAGCACUUCGAACAGAAGAGUGAAAUAGUUCCUGAAACCGUGCGCCUACAAGCGGUCGGAGCUCGUUAAUGAGUGACGGCGUGCCUUUUGCAUAAUGAACCUACGAGUUGCCUUUGCCGGCAAGGUUAAGUGUGACGACACACGUAUCCGAAGCGAAAGCGAGUCUGAACAGGGCGUAUAGUCGGCAGUGGCAGACGCGAAACCAAGUGAUCUACCCUUGGCCAGGUUGAAGGCUGGGUAACACCAGCUGGAGGACCGCACCAAUAAGCGUUGAAAAGCUUCUGGAUGAGCUGAGGGUAGGGGUGAAAGGCUAAUCAAACUUGGAGAUAGCUCGUACUCCCCGAAAUGCAUUUAGGUGCAGCCUUGCGGGUUACUGAUGUGAGGUAGAGCGACUGAUAAGAUGCGAGGGCUUCACCGCCUAUCAAGUCUUGACAAACUCCGAAUGCGCAUCAGUUCUACCGCAGGAGUGAGGGCAUGGGUGCUAAGGUCCGUGCCCGAGAGGAGAAGAAUCCGGACCACCUGCUAAGGUCCCGAAAUGACAGCUAAGUUAAACUAACGAAGUCUGACUGCUAAGACAGCUAGGAUGUUGGCUUGGAAGCAGCCAUUCAUUUAAAGAGUGCGUAACAGCUCACUAGUCGAGGAGUCGGGCGUGGAUAAUAAUCGGGUAUCAAGUUGUCUACCGAAGCAGUGGGAUCAUUUAUAUGAUCGGUAGGGGAGCAUUCCAGUCAGCGUCGAAGGCGUACCGUGAGGUAUUCUGGAGCGUCUGGAAAAGCAAAUGUAGGUAUAAGUAACGAUAAAGGGGGCGGGAAACCCCCUCGCCGAAAGACUAAGGUUUCCUGAUCAACGCUAAUCGGAUCAGGGUCAGUCGGGUCCUAAGGCUCAGCCGAACGGCGAUGCCGAUGGCAGAAACGGUUAAUAUUCCGUUACUACCUUCAGGAGUGACGUGGAGACGCAGUAGUGACAGUGCCGCCAUCUGACGGAAUAGAUGGUUGAAGGGUGUAGGAGUCGAUCAUGGCAGGCAAAUCCACCAUGAGAUCCGAACCUGAUAGUAUGCCGCGUCCUUCGGGACAAGGCAAUAGUGCGCGUAAGCAUGCUGCCGAGAAAAUCCGCUAAACUUAAUCCUGCAGGUACCCGUACCGCAAACGGACACACGUAGUCGGGAUGAAUAUUCUAAGGCGCUUGAGUGAUUCACGGUUAAGGAACUAGGCAAACUGACCCUGUAACUUCGGGAUAAAGGGUCCCUACCCUUUUAUGGGAGGGCGCAGAGAAUCGGUCCAGGCAACUGUUUAACAAAAACACAGGGCUGUGCCAAAUCGAAAGAUCCAGUAUACAGCCUGACACCUGCCCGGUGCUGGAAGGUUAAGAGGAGAUGUCAUCGAUAAGAGAAGCGUUGAAUUGAAGCCCCAGUAAACGGCGGCCGUAACUAUAACGGUCCUAAGGUAGCGAAAUUCCUUGUCGGGUAAGUUCCGACCUGCACGAAUGGUGUAAUGAUCUGGACACUGUCUCAACCGUGAGCUCAGUGAAAUUGUAGUAUCGGUGAAGAUGCCGAUUACCCGCGAUGGGACGAAAAGACCCCGUGAACCUUUACUAUAGCUUAUCAUUGAAUCUGGGCACGUGAUGUGUAGGAUAGGUCGGAGGCUUUGAAGCAGGUACGCCAGUAUUUGUGGAGCCGCUGUUGAAAUACGACCCUUUAUUUGUUUGGAUUCUAACCCGUGGAACGGGGACAUUGAUUGGUGGGUAGUUUGACUGGGGUGGUCGCCUCCAAAAGCGUAACGGAGGCUUCUAAAGGUGCCCUCCGGCCGAUUGGUAACCGGCCUUAGAGUGUAAUGGCAUAAGGGCGCUUGACUGGGAGACUAACAAGUCGAUCAGGUAGGAAACUAGAGCAUAGUGAUCCGGUGUUUCCGUAUGGAAGGGACAUCGCUCAAAGGAUAAAAGGUACUCCGGGGAUAACAGGCUGAUCCCUCCCAAGAGCUCAUAUCGACGGAGUGGUUUGGCACCUCGAUGUCGGCUCGUCACAUCCUGGGGCUGGAGAAGGUCCCAAGGGUUGGGCUGUUCGCCCAUUAAAGUGGCACGCGAGCUGGGUUCAGAACGUCGUGAGACAGUUCGGUCUCUAUCUAUCGUGGGCGCAUGAAAUUUGCGUGGCUCUGACACUAGUACGAGAGGACCGUGUUGGACAGACCUCUGGUUUGCCGGUUGUGCCGCCAGGUGCAUUGCCGGGUAUCUAAGUCUGGAUCGGAUAAGUGCUGAAAGCAUCUAAGUACGAAGCCGGCCACAAGAUUAGAUUUCUUAGGGUCGUUGUAGACUACGACGUUGAUAGGAUGCAGGUGUAAAGAUGGAGACAUCAAAGCCGAGCAUUACUAAUUGCCCGUUCACUUUCCUUA
Molecule: ribosomal RNA, 2865 nt
Filed under: human gut metagenome
Description: bacterial LSU rRNA
Rfam family: Bacterial large subunit ribosomal RNA
Source: RNAcentral